This 482-nucleotide ribosomal RNA is filed under the name uncultured bacterium. Its description in RNAcentral is "partial 16S ribosomal RNA". It matches the Rfam family "Bacterial small subunit ribosomal RNA", at positions 30 to 507 of the family's 1533-position model. The record is from RNAcentral.
AUUGAACGCUGGCGGCAUGCCUUACACAUGCAAGUCGAACGGUAACUCGCCUUCAGUUGCCGUCUAUUGUCGGCCGCGUGAGUAAUACAACCGAACGUCCCACAUAGUUGUUGAAAACGCAGCGCAACCUUUACCAAUAGCUCAUACGAGAUAAGGCUUCAAUCAGCGGGCCGCAAGGCCUUUAGCCGGUGCUGCGGCCCCUGGCAGAUUGAGUAGUUGGUCGUAUAAAAGCUUACCAAGCCGACGCUCUGUAGCUGGUCUGAGAGGAGGAUCAGCCACACUGGGACUGAGACACGGCCCAGACUCCUACGGGAGGCAGCAGUGGGGAAUUGUGGACAAUGGGCGCAAGCCUGAUCCAGCCAUGCCGCGUGCAGGAUGAAGGCCUUCGGGUUGUAAACUGCUUUUGUACGGAACGAAAAGCCUUCUUUUAAUAUAGGCGCGUCAUGACGGUACCGUAAGAAAAGGCACCGGCUAACUACGUG